UUCAGUGAGGACAAAAAUCAAAAGAGAAAAAUAAAAAACUAUACAUAACACAUGACAACAUAGAAGGAAGAUACAUGCUCCUCUUAACUUCUACUCUUUAUCCAAAGCCUACUGAAAUUCCCUGCCUUCAACAGACUUUGGGUCUUGAAUGCAUCAUGGUGUGAGAAACUGUUUUCUUUCUGGAUGAAGCUGAAGCAGAAGCCUCUCCCUAAUUCAUGUCCCACAACAUUGGAAAGCAGGAAGCUGAACCUACAUGCAGAGAGAACCUAAUAUUUAUGCCCUUCAAAACUGCUCAGCAACAUUGGCAAAUCACCUCAGGCAAUUGCAUUUCAUGGAAGUCCCAGGCAGCUGUCUAUCUUGGAGCAUUUUCUGUUCUCUGCAAAGCUGGUGAGGCUUUUCUGCCUGCACAUUUGAACCUCACUUCAAAUGACAAGAAACAACAGCAGCUGCGUUACAGAGCAUGCAUUAGAAAACACACACAUGCUUCUUCUGUAUGGAAUCCAAACUUGGGCACCCAAAAUAGCUUCUGUAGGCAAUUUAAUUUAAACUUUUCCAAUAUAACUUGUAUUCGGUUUUGUUUUCAAUCUGACUUACAAGACCUGAGAGCUCUGUAACACUGCAUAUGGAUUUCUUUUAUGAACAGAAUUAAAAAUUUUGAGCAGAAGGUCAUGGUGCUGUGCUAUUCCAUUUGUGUCACUUUCUAGGUACAUUUAUAAGAAACUGUAUCAUAUAUAUUUACUGAAUUGUAUUCCGUAUUACAUUAGGCAGUAUUACAACACACCACCAUGUUAAAGCUAUCUAAAACCCACCUUAAGAGGCAGCACUAAAAGGAAGUUAAAUGAAAUUACUCCUUAAGGUAGAACAAAUUUACUUCUUCACACCCAACUUCAAGGGCUUCACUGUGGGUGAGAAAGGAGUGGCCAAAGGCCAGAGACAGUGGUCUGAAGGAGAAGAAUAGGCAAAGAAUAAAUAAACUGCAUAAAGAAGGCCCUUGAAUAGUAAACCCCUUAGUCAGGCCUUUAUAGAAAACAUGGGCUGGGGGGGAAAACUGGGAAGGCUUAAAUGAAGAGGCCCACAUCAGUGAAAAUUGUAAAGGACUACCGCAUGGGAAACGGAGAGAUGGGAAAGGAACUACUUCUAAGGAACAGAAAUGGGAAGACAUAGCAGUAAGGGGAGAGGUAGGCAACUUAAGGAGAUGGUAGAGGAAUAAAAUAUUUCCUACAACCCUUCAAAACUGUAGAGGCCAUCUGCAGUAAUACAGGUAAUCUAAAAUCAAUUAUGAUUGCUACAUACAUUUCCUUAUCUUUAUCACUGUGCUAAAUAUAAUUCAAUAAGGAAUAUGAGUAAUUCUGAUUUAGUAUAAGAAUGAAAUAUCUGAGGGAGGAAAUUUCAGUGGAAUGUGGUUCAACAUCAAAAAAGAAUCAGCAAUGCAAAUCAGACGAUGUGAUAACUGGGGAAUGCUAAAAGGAAACUGCAUGAGAAUCUCAGACACCCUGUCAUUUCUGGAAAACGUGAUCAACAGAAGAUGAGUAUUAUAUUCAUUUUUUAAAAAAAAAAAGAAUAGCAGAUAGUAACAGGUA
This is a long non-coding RNA of Athene cunicularia (burrowing owl), 1580 nucleotides long. RefSeq lists it as uncharacterized. The transcript is spliced from 3 exons. NCBI's taxonomy places the organism in Eukaryota, Metazoa, Chordata, Aves, Strigiformes, Strigidae. The record is from RefSeq and is a predicted model, not a curated record.